This 478-nucleotide ribosomal RNA is filed under the name uncultured bacterium. Its description in RNAcentral is "partial 16S ribosomal RNA". It matches the Rfam family "Bacterial small subunit ribosomal RNA", at positions 28 to 523 of the family's 1533-position model. The record is from RNAcentral.
GACGAACGCUGGCGGCGUGCUUAACACAUGCGAGUCGAACGGUAAGGCCCUUCGGGGUACACGAGUGGCGAACGGGUGAGUAACACGUGGGUGAUCUGCCCUGCACUUCGGGAUAAGCCUGGGAAACUGGGUCUAAUACCGGAUAGGACCACUGCCUGCAUGGGUGGUGGUGGAAAGCUUUUGUGGUGUGGGAUGGGCCCGCGGCCUAUCAGCUUGUUGGUGGGGUGAUGGCCUACCAAGGCGACGACGGGUAGCCGGCCUGAGAGGGUGACCGGCCACACUGGGACUGAGAUACGGCCCAGACUCCUACGGGAGGCAGCAGUGGGGAAUAUUGCACAAUGGGCGCAAGCCUGAUGCAGCGACGUCGCGUGAGGGAUGACGGCCUUCGGGUUGUAAACCUCUUUCGGCACCGACGAAGCGCAAGUGACGGUAGGUGCAGAAGAAGGACCGGCCAACUACGUGCCAGCCGCCGCGGUAA